CGCCGCGUGGAGCAGUCCAGUAGCUCGCCGGGUUCAUAACCCGGAGGUCGCAGGUGCGAAUCCUGCCGCGGCUA
This 74-nucleotide transfer RNA is filed under the name Stratiformator vulcanicus. It matches the Rfam family "tRNA". From Rfam's summary of the family: Transfer RNA (tRNA) molecules are approximately 80 nucleotides in length. The record is from Rfam by way of RNAcentral. Lineage: Bacteria; Pseudomonadati; Planctomycetota; Planctomycetia; Planctomycetales; Planctomycetaceae.